Molecule: ribosomal RNA, 404 nt
Filed under: uncultured Pseudomonadota bacterium
Lineage: Bacteria; Pseudomonadati; Pseudomonadota
Description: bacterial SSU rRNA
Rfam family: Bacterial small subunit ribosomal RNA
Source: RNAcentral
CAAGCCUGAUCCAGCCAUGCCGCGUGGGUGAAGAAGGCCUUCGGGUUGUAAAGCCCUUUUGUUGGGAAAGAAAAGCAGCCGGCCAAUACCCGGUUGUUCUGACGGUACCCAAAGAAUAAGCACCGGCUAACUUCGUGCCAGCAGCCGCGGUAAUACGAAGGGUGCAAGCGUUACUCGGAAUUACUGGGCGUAAAGCGUGCGUAGGUGGUGGUUUAAGUCAGGGGUGAAAUCCUGGGGCUCAACCUCAGAACUGCCCUUGAUACUGGCGAUCUCGAGUUCGAGAGAGGUUGGUGGAACUCCGAGUGUAGAGGUGAAAUUCGUAGAUAUUCGGAAGAACACCAGUGGCGAAGGCGGCCAACUGGCUCGAUACUGACGCUGAGGUGCGAAAGCGUGGGGAGCAAACA